Molecule: long non-coding RNA, 567 nt
Organism: Clupea harengus (Atlantic herring)
Lineage: Eukaryota; Metazoa; Chordata; Actinopteri; Clupeiformes; Clupeidae
Exons: 3
Source: RefSeq, a predicted model, not a curated record
GCUUGAAAAAAAUUGUGCCGCUACAAUGACUUUUAAUAUGGCGAUUUGCGCCUCCGCCAUUGCCAUCGGGGGUCUGUGGGGAAAUAACUCCGCUAUGUAGGAUUCUGAGGCCGCCCGAUCUGGGGGCGGAUGUACUUCGACCUGCUUUCUGGCAGUGAUUACGCAAUGUCAUAUAGUGCCAGUCCACGCUCGCAGCUACAGUAUAAACGAGAAGCCAGCGAAGUCUCAUCAGUAUUCAUCAUGGAGAACGCACCAAAGAAACAGAAGAAGACAAUGUCUGAUGAGCAAAGAAGAGAAAAGAGAGGCCCGACAGAGCAGAGAUCGGACUAGGGUCACAAUCGGAACAGCUUUUACUUGUUGGAGAGAGCUGAAGACACCAUUUGGAUACAAGUUCGAUUCACAGCUAGCCAUCUUUCUGCUGGAUUACGGUAGGGAAUGUCUACUCCCAGCAAGGGACAUGCACAGCCACCACCGCCGCCUGUAUCUAGUAUUUCAGAAGAGUCCGACCGAGAUGGGGACAAAUAAUUCGCUAUGCAAGGUGUUCAACCGUUGGGCAAAGAAACCGAA